Molecule: long non-coding RNA, 259 nt
Filed under: Spirodela polyrhiza (greater duckweed)
Lineage: Eukaryota; Viridiplantae; Streptophyta; Magnoliopsida; Alismatales; Araceae
Description: long non-coding RNA (SPOL_LNC002606)
Source: RNAcentral
UCUAUCUCUCUCUCUCUCUCUUCCCCUUUUUCUCUCUCUACCUCUUUUCUCUCUCUGGAGGGAUGAGUGAGAGAGAGAGCACAAAAGUGUGCAGGUUUGUGAGAGUGAGAUAGAGAGCAUUAAAAGCCGUGGAAAGAGGAGAGAGAAGUUCGGUUCAGCGAGGGGUGGCGGAAGACCGUCCACUCAGAGGAGUAAGGUCGGCGGCGCAGAGGCGUAGAGAGAGAGAGAGAGAGAGAGAGAGAGAGAGAGGAGGAGAGNN